AUCCUAUGGUAGCAUGAAGAAGUGGAAGCCUUCCUGGAGAGCAGAAGGGUAUUGAUCACUGCCUCCGAGAGACCUAGUAAUUGGAGUCUUUCUUUCUCAAGACCCAUACCCCCAGUUUGAGGCAUUCCGGAUGAGGAUGGAAUACAGGGCCCUGCGUUAGCAGAUCCUCCAUCACUGGAAGAGGCCAAGGUUGUUCUUGGCUCAUCAUGGC
Molecule: non-coding RNA, 211 nt
Organism: Pelobates cultripes (western spadefoot toad)
Lineage: Eukaryota; Metazoa; Chordata; Amphibia; Anura; Pelobatidae
Source: the annotation of a GenBank genome assembly